This is a long non-coding RNA of Pipistrellus kuhlii (Kuhl's pipistrelle), 146 nucleotides long. RefSeq lists it as uncharacterized. NCBI's taxonomy places the organism in Eukaryota, Metazoa, Chordata, Mammalia, Chiroptera, Vespertilionidae. The transcript is spliced from 3 exons. The record is from RefSeq and is a predicted model, not a curated record.
UCACAAAUGAAAACUUAAAGCAACUUAAUGGGAAUUAUAAGGAACAAAGUGGGAAAUUCAUAAGCAUGAAAGAAAAGAUGUAGAAACCAUGAAUAAGAAUCAAUUGGAAACGAAGAAUGACAUUGCAGCAAUAAAGAAUACCAUGG